CAGGUAGUAGUGGGUGUAGCGUACCUACUAGCCUACGACGGGUACGGGUUGUGAGAGCAAGAGCCCGGAGAUGGAUUCUGAGACACGAAUCCAGGCCCUACGGGGUGCAGCAGGCGCGAAAACUUUACAAUGCUGGAAACAGCGAUAAGGGGACCCCGAGUGCCAGGUUACAAAUCUGGCUGUCGUGAUGCCUAAAAAGCAUUGCAUAGCAAGGGCCGGGCAAGACCGGUGCCAGCCGCCGCGGUAACACCGGCGGCUCGAGUGGUAACCGUUAUUAUUGGGUCUAAAGGGUCUGUAGCCGGCCGGAUAAGUCUCUUGGGAAAUCUGGCAGCUUAACUGUCAGGCUUUCAGGAGAUACUGUCUGGCUCGAGGCCGGGAGAGGUGAGAGGUACUUCAGGGGUAGGGGUGAAAUCUUGUAAUCCUUGAAGGACCACCAGUGGCGAAGGCGUCUCACCAGAACGGACCUGACGGCAAGGGACGAAAGCUAGGGGCACGAACCGGAUUAGAUACCCGGGUAGUCCUAGCCGUAAACGAUACUCGCUAGGUGUCGGCAACGGUGCGACCGUUGUCGGUGCCGUAGGGAAGCCGUGAAGCGAGCCACCUGGGAAGUACGGCCGCAAGGCUGAAACUUAAAGGAAUUGGCGGGGGAGCAC
Molecule: ribosomal RNA, 653 nt
Filed under: uncultured Methanosaeta sp.
Lineage: Archaea; Methanobacteriati; Methanobacteriota; Methanomicrobia; Methanotrichales; Methanotrichaceae
Description: bacterial SSU rRNA
Rfam family: Archaeal small subunit ribosomal RNA
Source: RNAcentral